RNAcentral lists this unclassified non-coding RNA (1420 nucleotides) under uncultured fungus. RNAcentral describes it as "sequence contains 18S rRNA gene, ITS1, 5.8S rRNA gene, ITS2, 28S rRNA gene". The stretch from base 432 to 1420 matches the Rfam family "Eukaryotic large subunit ribosomal RNA", at positions 1 to 961 of the family's 3401-position model. Lineage: Eukaryota; Fungi. The record is from RNAcentral.
GGAAGGAUCAUUCACACAUUGAGAUCCAAGCUAUAUGCGAUAUUUGGUGGCUUGCCACCAGCUGUCAACUACCUUCGGGAAAGUGACAGCACCCCAUCUUUAAUUCAAUAAAAUAUAAAAUCUUAUAUCUUUUAGCGAUGGAUGUCUUGGCUCCCACCACGAUGAAGGACGCAGCGAAUUGCGAUAAGCAGUGUGAAUUGCAGAAUUCAGUGAAUCACUAGAUGGCUGAACGCGAAUUGCACUCGUGGGUAUUCCUGCGAGUGUGCCUAUUUCAGUGUCCCCAAAUUCACAUCAAAAUUAUUUUGAUGUUCAUUUCAGCAUCACCUUUCACGAGGUAGUUGCUGACGAUUUUUCCAAACUCGAUAUUGCUCGACAACUCAGCGUGGAUUUCAUGCAGAGUGGGCAACGAGUGGAAUUUCAUUUUUUAUCUACGACCUGAAAUUAGGUAAGAUUACCCGCUGAAUUUAAGCAUAUAAUUAAGUGGUGGAAAAGAAACUAACUAGAAUUCCCUUAGUAAUGGCGAAUGAACAGGGAAGAGCUCAAAAUGAAAAUCAACGGCUCGUGCUGUUGAAUUGUAGUCUCAAGAAGUGUUACCAGUAAAGGCGCAGGGAUAAGCCUCUUGGAAAAGAGCAUCUGUGAAGGUGAAAAUCCUGUUCAUGCUCUGCAGACCUUUACGUACGGUACAUUUUCAAUGAGUCGCGUUCCUUGGAAGUGGAGCGCUAAAUGGAAGGUAAAUUUCUUCUAAAGCUAAAUAUUUGUGGGAGACCGAUAGCAAACAAGUACCAUGAGGGAAAGAUGAAAAGGACUUUGGAAAGAGAGUUAAAAGUGCCUGAAAUCGCUAAAAGGGAAGCGAAUAGAACCAAUACAGUCGGUGUAAUUGUUUACCGCAUAAGCGAACAGCCAGCUUAGACCUUACGGCUUUGCUGGUGAUUAGCGAUCGUGGUGGACUGCCUACAUCGACGUUUACAGCAUCAGUUGCUAUGGGAUGAAAACUGGGCAGGAAGGUAGGUCUUCCGGGACUGUUAAGCCUGUCUAUGAUAAUCCUGUGGCGACUGAGGUUGCUGGCCGGGCUACACUUUCGAGGACUCGUGCCAACAGAUGCUGUUUAUGUGGUUCUAUCCGACCCGUCUUGAAACACGGACCAAGGAGUCUAACAUAUGUGCAAGUAUACGGCCUGCAAAGCUGUAUGCGUAAUGAAAGUGAAUGUUAGUAUUUUUGCACUAACGACCGACUUCUUCUCGGAGAGGUUUGAGUAUGAGCAUGUCUGUUAGGACCCGAAAGAUGGUGAACUAUGCCUGAGUAGGGUGAAGCCAGGGGAAACUCUGGUGAAGGCUCGUAGCGAUACUGACGUGCAAAUCGUUCGUCAAACUUGGGUAUAGGGGCGAAAGACUAAUCGAACCAUCUAGUAGCUGGUUCCCUC